RNAcentral lists this long non-coding RNA (2018 nucleotides) under Apis florea (little honeybee). RNAcentral's name for it is "uncharacterized LOC105736819, transcript variant X1". Lineage: Eukaryota; Metazoa; Arthropoda; Insecta; Hymenoptera; Apidae. The record is from RNAcentral.
AUUUAUAAUAAAUUGAAUCUUUUGCAGAAUUAUAUGGAUUUGUAAAAUCUAAAAAUUUCAAACCGUCAACAUAUUGUAAAGUGACAGAGAAACUACUAUCUCGUUUCGGAAACAAGAAUGUAAUUACAUUUAUGUUCGUGGAAAUAUUCCUUUCUCUUUUAACAAGGCUUGUAAUUGGUGAAAAUUCCUGUUAUCGCUUCUAUUGCGAUAGAUUCAGUGUAAUUUAAAUGCAAUUUUUUGUUGUCAAGAAUCAAUGAAUUAUUCUUUAAGGUUAUGUAACACUAUUGAUUACUAAUCUUUUUAGUUCAUUCUUAAAAAAAACUUAAUUCUUUGUUUUAGUUUGCACACAUAUAGGAAAGAAUUCCCUUCUAAUAAAAAUUAUUGCACAGAAUUGUUUUAAAUCUUUUUAAGCAAGGAAAGCCAAAUGCAGCAACUGAAUUCUGACUAUAGAAGAAACUAAUUCUCUCUUUCUAUAAAUCAUUAUUUUCAAAAUCAAUGACCUAGUUAUUCUUGUAGAAGGUAUAAGUAUUGCAAUUUUAAUUCAUUCUUGUUUUCUAUUUCAGAAAAGUGGUUGUAGAAAAGAAAAAAGCAGAAACCUUUUGAUUUUUUAGCAGUCACUAAAACUCUUUCUAAUUGUUCUGAAAAAAUAAAUAGCCUUAGAAACCGAAAGCGGUCAGGAUAUUCAUAUCUGACCGUGCUUUUCUCUUGAACGCUCCGAGCUAUAUGACCUGGAAACUUUAACGAAACCUUUAGAAUUUCCGGGGAGGCAAUUUCACCGAUGGUAUAUCUCGCGUGCUACUGUAUGCAACUGUGCCACCGACACGCGGAGUACGUCGCAGAACAAUGGCAACGCUUAAUGCCGUCUGACUGGUUGUAAUUUGCAUUUCUCUAGUUGGCAUCUCUCUGCCUCUGCGAAUAGGCCCUGCCGAAAUCGCAUCGAUGCAUCGAAGUCCGCUUAAUGUUUCCGUAAUGCUCCGCUGUGCAUUCCUUUGAACCGAUUUCCAACCAAAUUUGCCUAUAUCCGAACUAGAAAUUGCACGAAUACUGAAACUUAUGUUCUGAAAGCUGGCUAAUCUGAUAUAAAUUGGUUAAAUAUGCCAAUUAGAAGCAGUCUAAUUGAACCUGUGGCGCUUGGUGUCAUUCUUCCGCCGAAAAUCAUUGUGAAAGGACGUGUUAUCGUAUCGGCUUGAGCAGCAUCAUUUCAACUACGCAAAAAUUGAUGAUCGCGUUUGUGCUACGCUCGACACGUUCGAUUUGUUAUGAUUGUCGAACUAUCGACCUCCCCUCCCUACUUUAUAAUUCGAUAAUCGAAAUUGCGGCGUGGAAUGUCAUUGUACUCUCGAUACUCGUGGCGUUCAGACGUGUUAUUUUUCUUUGAGGUAUUGAUGAUAUUUGAAGAUUUCUUCUGAGUAUUAGUUUAAAAAAAUAUUUGUGACCGCGCGCAAUGCGGUUAAUAGAGUCAGUGUUUACUUCGUAAUAGUAUUUUUAAUUCUUUAGAAUACAAUUGUUAAUUAAUUUAAUAAAAUAGAUAUUCGCGAAAUUAGAAUCAGUGUUUGUUCACCGAUAACUAAACGUUAAUAUUCUUUUAUUUAUUUUUUUAUUUUUUAAAUAUUCGUUUCGCGUGCAUUAGAAUCAGUGUAUUAAGAGAAUAAAGUGAUCAUCAUUAUCAGCAUUGUAUCAAAAAGUUCUACUUUCUCUUAUUUGAUGACGACUCCAAGAUAAUUUCUUAUAUGUUAUGACAACAAUGAUGGCAAUGCAGAUUUUUUGCAUCUAUUGGUGAGUCGCAUGCAUUUUAUUUCCUCUGGUCACUCAAUCAUGUCGUAGGAUGAAAGAUCCGAAUCGACACGAGUGAUUGGUUGUAUUAUGUAGAAUUUUAUACGAGCAUAGUGACCAUGGGUAUUUAUUAUACUCAUGAAUAAUAACAUUUCUUUUUCUUGUGUUUUAUUUAUUAAUAUAGGAUAGGGUCUUCUUGUACAUCGCGUUGUAACAUAAUUAAAUGAUUUUUAUAAUUAAUUUAU